This 582-nucleotide ribosomal RNA is filed under the name uncultured bacterium. RNAcentral describes it as "partial 16S ribosomal RNA". It matches the Rfam family "Bacterial small subunit ribosomal RNA", at positions 355 to 935 of the family's 1533-position model. The record is from RNAcentral.
UGGGGAAUUUUGGACAAUGGGCGAAAGCCUGAUCCAGCAAUGCCGCGUGUGUGAAGAAGGCCUUCGGGUUGUAAAGCACUUUUGUCCGGAAAGAAAUCCUUGGCUCUAAUACAGUCGGGGGAUGACGGUACCGGAAGAAUAAGCACCGGCUAACUACGCGCCAGCAGCCGCGGUAAUACGUAGGGUGCAAGCGUUAAUCGGAAUUACUGGGCGUAAAGCGUGCGCAGGCGGUUUGCUAAGACCGAUGUGAAAUCCCCGGGCUCAACCUGGGAACUGCAUUGGUGACUGGCAGGCUAGAGUAUGGCAGAGGGGGGUAGAAUUCCACGUAUAGCAGUGAAAUGCGUAGAGAUGUGGAGGAAUACCGAUGGCGAAGGCAGCCCCCUGGGCCAAUACUGACGCUCAUGCACGAAAGCGUGGGGAGCAAACAGGAUUAGAUACCCUGGUAGUCCACGCCCUAAACGAUGUCAACUAGUUGUUGGGGAUUCAUUUCCUUAGUAACGUAGCUAACGCGUGAAGUUGACCGCCUGGGGAGUACGGUCGCAAGAUUAAAACUCAAAGGAAUUGACGGGGUCAUAGCUGUUU